Molecule: ribosomal RNA, 503 nt
Filed under: bacterium enrichment culture clone ALO1_GLFRUDD03HJ72K
Lineage: Bacteria
Description: bacterial SSU rRNA
Rfam family: Bacterial small subunit ribosomal RNA
Source: RNAcentral
GAGUUUGAUCCUGGCUCAGAUUGAACGCUGGCGGCAGGCCUAACACAUGCAAGUCGAGCGGAUGACGGGAGCUUGCUCCUUGAUUCAGCGGCGGACGGGUGAGUAAUGCCUAGGAAUCUGCCUGGUAGUGGGGGACAACGUUUCGAAAGGAACGCUAAUACCGCAUACGUCCUACGGGAGAAAGCAGGGGACCUUCGGGCCUUGCGCUAUCAGAUGAGCCUAGGUCGGAUUAGCUAGUUGGUGGGGUAAUGGCUCACCAAGGCGACGAUCCGUAACUGGUCUGAGAGGAUGAUCAGUCACACUGGAACUGAGACACGGUCCAGACUCCUACGGGAGGCAGCAGUGGGGAAUAUUGGACAAUGGGCGAAAGCCUGAUCCAGCCAUGCCGCGUGUGUGAAGAAGGUCUUCGGAUUGUAAAGCACUUUAAGUUGGGAGGAAGGGCAGUAAGUUAAUACCUUGCUGUUUUGACGUUACCGACAGAAUAAGCACCGGCUAACUCUGUG